RNAcentral lists this ribosomal RNA (30 nucleotides) under Trichoderma konilangbra. RNAcentral describes it as "partial 18S ribossomal RNA". The record is from RNAcentral. Lineage: Eukaryota; Fungi; Ascomycota; Sordariomycetes; Hypocreales; Hypocreaceae.
GGAUCAUUUACGAGUUACCACUCCCCAGAA